RNAcentral lists this ribosomal RNA (429 nucleotides) under Chloroflexota bacterium. Its description in RNAcentral is "Chloroflexi bacterium partial 16S ribosomal RNA". It matches the Rfam family "Bacterial small subunit ribosomal RNA", at positions 355 to 776 of the family's 1533-position model. Lineage: Bacteria; Bacillati; Chloroflexota. The record is from RNAcentral.
UGGGGAAUAUUGCACAAUGGGCGCAAGCCUGAUGCAGCCAUGCCGCGUGUGUGAAGAAGGCCUUCGGGUUGUAAAGCACUUUCAGCGGGGAGGAAGGCGGUGAGGUUAAUAACCUCAUCGAUUGACGUUACCCGCAGAAGAAGCACCGGCUAACUCCGUGCCAGCAGCCGCGGUAAUACGGAGGGUGCAAGCGUUAAUCGGAAUUACUGGACGUAAAGCGCACGCAGGCGGUCUGUCAAGUCGGAUGUGAAAUCCCCGGGCUCAACCUGGGAACUGCAUUCGAAACUGGCAGGCUAGAGUCUUGUAGAGGGGGGUAGAAUUCCAGGUGUAGCGGUGAAAUGCGUAGAGAUCUGGAGGAAUACCGGUGGCGAAGGCGGCCCCCUGGACAAAGACUGACGCUCAGGUGCGAAAGCGUGGGGAGCAAACAGG